UCAAGUCCGGUUACGAUCAC
Molecule: small nuclear RNA, 20 nt
Filed under: Phaeodactylum tricornutum CCAP 1055/1
Lineage: Eukaryota; Bacillariophyta; Bacillariophyceae; Surirellales; Neidiaceae
Description: snRNA PTsRNA00057a
Source: RNAcentral